AGAAUCAACGCUGGCGGCGUGCCUAACACAUGUAAGUCGAACGAGAAAGUGGAGCAAUCCAUGAGUAAAGUGGCGACCGGGUGAGUAACACGUGACUAACCUACCUUCGAGUGGGGGAUAACCUCGGGAAACCGAGGCUAAUACCGCAUAACAUCGUGAGAUCAAAGCAGUAAUGCGCUGGAAGAGGGGGUCGCGGCUGAUUAGCUAGUUGGCGGGGUAAUGGCCCACCAAGGCGAAGAUCGGUA
RNAcentral lists this ribosomal RNA (245 nucleotides) under uncultured bacterium. Its description in RNAcentral is "partial small subunit ribosomal RNA". It matches the Rfam family "Bacterial small subunit ribosomal RNA", at positions 26 to 285 of the family's 1533-position model. The record is from RNAcentral.